Molecule: ribosomal RNA, 119 nt
Filed under: Triticum aestivum (bread wheat)
Lineage: Eukaryota; Viridiplantae; Streptophyta; Magnoliopsida; Poales; Poaceae
Also listed under: 1 other name
Source: RNAcentral
GGAUGCGAUCAUACCAGCACUAAAGCACCGGAUCCCAUCAGAACUCCGAAGUUAAGCGUGCUUGGGAUAGAGUAGUACUAGGAUGGGUGACCUCCUAGGAAGUCCUCGUGUUGCAUUCC